CAUUUGUUUUGUGUUUGUUUGUUUUAUAAGUCAGGGAGUAAAUUUAAUACUGAAUCAUAAGGAUGACUAGUCUAUACUGAUAUACAUCUGAUUUAUGUAAAUUGUGUGAAUAACAUAUAGUGUGUACAGGAUAUUGAUGGUUUUUAUAUACUGGUCAUAAUUAUAUAAACUAUCGUGGGGUUUGUUUACACCCCGUGGAGUGUAGUGAUGUUUAUUUUUAGUGUAAGAAAACAACAAGUUCAUGCCACAGUGUAAAUUAUCAUAUAUAUUUUCAACUUUUUUGCCAACAAGAAAUAGUACAAUUCAAUCUCCACCCAGACUGGUGUAUCUUUUCUUCAAAAAGUGAGUAAAAUGACUUAAAAGAAAACCGAGAAAAUAUGCUGAACUAUUGAACUCUGACCCUAAAGGUGAAAACGUAUUGUUUCUAGAGAUUUGUUAUAUUUUUAUUCAUUUGUGAAAUCAUAAACGAGAUGAUGCGUCAACAUUUACAUAAAAGUUACGAUCCGAAACGGCGGCUGAGUUUAAUGAUACCAUCUGAAUCUCAAUUACCAGAUUUAUCCAGACGUCGUUCAAUUAACGAGAAUUCAUUUCUCCUGCCUCCGAGUAUUUCUACACGGAGCAGUUCCUCUGGGGAUCUUUCUCCGAAGAUUAUUCAAGAGGAGAGAAAGGAUCGAAGUGAGUACAAAUUCGGUGACCAUCAUAGACUUUCUUUGCCUGCUUUUAGCAGUGAUACACAAAAACUGUCAUUAAGUCCAACUGACGGUAGGCCUUCGUCUGCCACUAGAAGGCGCUCUUCCAUUUAUGGCGGCGAUUUGUCAAGAUUAGGACUGGAUAAUGAAUCGGAUAAAAACAAUGUUCGAAAUUUUGUAUCGGCGGUUGUGGUUGUAAUAUCCCUCGUUGUCGCGUUUUCCUUUUAUCAGUUGGUGUAUUCUUAACUGUAAUCCUUGUAUUAGUGGAUAAAAAUGUGCUCGUAAAAUGGUGGUUUAUGUUUUGUUUUGUUUUGAAGCUCCAUGUCCAGUACACUAUAAUGUGAAAGUUUGAUCCGUUCAAUUUAGAGACGUGGACAACCAUUCCAGGAUACUUUAUUUCAAUUUUGCAGCCAUUAUGCUAUUUAACGAGGAUUGGACGCUAACACAAUACACCUCUACCACAAUGAACUAUUUUCGGUCAAGAAAAUUUAUUGUUCGUUUUUUUAGUUUUCAUCGAAAAGCGGGUCAUUGACAAGCUUGUCAUUAGAACCAGUGUAAACAUUAACUCUCUUACAAUUAACAUUUUAAAAAGGGGUGACUUGACAACAAACAAGAGUGAACACAUAUUUAUCGAAUAAAAUGAAUAAAUCUACAAACUGACUUUAAUAAAUAUAUGGGUUCCAUAGGAUGCACUUCAGCGUCUAUCAUGCCAGAUGGAUGUAUCAAGUUUCAAAAUAAUUCUGAAAUUUGCUUUAAAACGUGUUAAGAUCAAGGGAAAUAACCAUGUACUUAAAUAAUCACAAUAUAUAGUCAGAAGGGAUUAUAUCUAUUCUAGUAACUUUUCUCCAAAGCAGAGUAUAUAAACGGGAAUGAACAGGAUAGUCUGUAAAUAACCGCUACUAUUCAAUGUGGUUAAUCGGUAUUAUAUUGUGAUUAAACCUACUCAGUUUUAAAAUAAAUCAUCAAUAAAAGAA
Long non-coding RNA from Patella vulgata (common limpet), 1663 nucleotides. RefSeq lists it as uncharacterized. Lineage: Eukaryota; Metazoa; Mollusca; Gastropoda; Patellidae. The transcript has 2 exons. The record is from RefSeq and is a predicted model, not a curated record.